Long non-coding RNA from Sapajus apella (tufted capuchin), 139 nucleotides. RefSeq lists it as uncharacterized. The transcript is spliced from 2 exons. The record is from RefSeq and is a predicted model, not a curated record. Lineage: Eukaryota; Metazoa; Chordata; Mammalia; Primates; Cebidae.
AGCCAGGCAUGGUGGCGCACGCCUGUAGUCCCAGCUACUUGGGAGGCUGAGACAAGAAAAUUUCUUGAACCACAAGGCGGAAGUUGCAGUGAGCCGAGAUCAUACCACUGCACUCAGCCUGGGCGACAGAGCAAGACUC